CCCUGGGGACAGGUGACAAUGGCAGGUGCCACCUCAGGUGUGCCCAGGUGCCACCAGGUGUGCCCAGGUGCCACCAGACCUGUCCAGGUGCCACCAGGUGUGCCCAGGUGCCACCAGGUGUGUCCAGGUACCACCAAACCUGUCCAGGUGCCACCAGGUGUGCCCAGGUGCCACCAAACCUGUCCAGGUGCCACCAGGUGUGUGCCCAAGUGCCACCUCAGGUGUGUCCAGGUGCCACCAAACCUGUCCAGGUGCCACCUCAGGUGUGCCCAAGUGCCACCUCAGGUGUGCCCAGGUGCCACCAGGUGUGCCCAGGUGCCACCUCAGGUGUGCCCAGGUGCCACCAGGUGUGCCCAGGUGCCACCAAACCUGUCCAGGUGCCACCAGGUGUGCCCAGGUGUGUGCCCAGGUGUGUCAGAC
This 420-nucleotide long non-coding RNA is filed under the name Zonotrichia albicollis (white-throated sparrow). RNAcentral describes it as "lncRNA (ENSZALG00000000209.1)". The record is from RNAcentral. Lineage: Eukaryota; Metazoa; Chordata; Aves; Passeriformes; Passerellidae.